UAAUCGACAAAGUUUCCUGGUAGCUUGUUACUACUGGUCGGUGAAUCUCUUGACUUGGUACAAAGAGCAUGCCACUGUUAAGACGCUAUGAUCGAGAACAGGUACGCAUGACAAAUGUUCAUGAUGUGAUUCGCAUUCUGCGGCUCGAGUCAGUCGCAACUUUACAAGCAAAAUGAUUUGACACCGAUGCUUUUUCGAGGUAACUUUUAAUAUUUCUUGUUUUAGCUUCAGACAAUAUGAUGGCUACAGUGCAGGCAUGUCUGCUGUAGUGCUAUAACGGAAAGGAAAUUCAGAAAGCGAAGCACAGCCUUUUGUGUUACAAGAGUAUCUCAUUCUUCAGCUGUUUACGACUCGGCAGUUUUUCCGAAUCUCACCGUUGGUACCAGUGAGAGGGUUCAAGUUUCCCAUCUUCACCAUGGAAACUGCAA
Selaginella moellendorffii is the source of this 428-nucleotide long non-coding RNA. RefSeq lists it as uncharacterized. Lineage: Eukaryota; Viridiplantae; Streptophyta; Lycopodiopsida; Selaginellales; Selaginellaceae. The record is from RefSeq and is a predicted model, not a curated record. The transcript is spliced from 3 exons.